RNAcentral lists this ribosomal RNA (253 nucleotides) under uncultured bacterium. RNAcentral describes it as "partial 16S ribosomal RNA". It matches the Rfam family "Bacterial small subunit ribosomal RNA", at positions 524 to 776 of the family's 1533-position model. The record is from RNAcentral.
UACGGAGGGUGCAAGCGUUAAUCGGAAUUACUGGGCGUAAAGCGUGCGUAGGCGGUUCGUUAAGUCAGAUGUGAAAGCCCUGGGCUCAACCUGGGAACUGCAUUUGAAACUGGCGGACUAGAGUUUAGUAGAGGGGAGUGGAAUUUCAGGUGUAGCGGUGAAAUGCGUAGAUAUCUGAAGGAACACCAGUGGCGAAGGCGACUCCCUGGACUAAAACUGACGCUGAGGUACGAAAGCGUGGGUAGCAAACAGG